GAGCGAAGAAAUGUCUUUUGAAGAGAAAAUUCAUACACAAGUAGGGGAAAUAUAAUGCGAUAUAAUUUGAAAGAUGGAUACAAUACAAUAAAUAUAUCAAAUAAACUCAUACUUUAUUAUUCUCUUUUUUUAUAUUAUAAUCCCAAAUUUGAAAAAGGACUUAGCGCACAAGGCUCCAAAAAACACAGCUUCAAAAUGGUAAGGAAACAAAACCAAAUUAUUUAGAAACGUGCCAACAUCCAAACAAAACUUUGCUUGGUCGGUUCAUUAUUUCUCACUAAGCGGACGGCAUCAGAUUUAACAAUAUAUGCGCGUAUCUGAUUACAUCGUUUCCUGGAGGCUCCUCUGUAUGCUCUCCAUAUGUCAAUAAAAUGAUUGCCAUCCCUUAGAUAACAGUGCCAUACUAUCCUAUCGCCGCUGCCUCUCUCCCUAACCGGGAAGUUGUAUUUACCAUUGAAUUUUAUUUCUUGAACACUUAUAGUUUCCUUUUUGUUCGAUGUGCAGUUGACUUUGACACUACGAGGAGGUUCAAGUUGGUUUUGAAAUUCCACCAGAUUGCAUCCGGAAGUUCUUUUCGAACUAAAACACAUAACAGUUAUUAACAUAAAAGUAAUGAGAUUAUUCAUCUUUUUUUUUUUUUUUGAAGAUGCUAGAGACCCAAAGCGUAUUAUGUAUAGUUUCUUUUGUGAUGAAUAAGGUACGAAGCUAAAUAUAGACACAAAUAUUACUCGAUUAAAGUUAUGGUUGGAGGAGCAUUCGCAGUCGAAAAGUAAGGUAAAACCAUAAGAUAAGAUCAAAUAAAUUUAAAUUGCAAAUUAACGUUGACCACUAAAACUAAAGAAACAUGAGUCUGAAAAUAGGUUCUACAUUUUACCCAAAAAAAAACAAACAAUUGAAAUAUAAAACUGAAGAACCUGUACAGAAAAAACAAGAGAGUAACAUCAGGUUGAGAUAAGCAUCCAAAUAAUCAAAAUCGAAACCUUACCCUGGAGUGAAAAAGAGAGGGUUUAGGAGGAGUUUAAAGAAUCCAAAGGAUGCCACUCAGCGAGAUGAAUAUCAUUACAACUGCAUUCUAAAUACAACAUGUCUCUCAUUUAUAUAAAUUUGAUCUUAGUUCUCCUUCUUCAGGAGUAGCAAACUGCAUAGCCAAUAAGGUGACGAUGAAUAUAAAAUGCUUCUGCAGAUAAAAAAAAAAAGGAGUCAAAUUUCUGAUUAAAUUCGCUGAGAUUCUCAUUAAAGUUAAAAACUUUAUGGGUUAUGAUUAGCGAGUAAACACGAAUCGAAAUCCAAUACACUACUACAUUGGGGCGAAAGAACCCUAAUUUGGAAAUCGAUGGCAGCAGAAAGAGAAACCCAAAUGGGAAUAAAGGAGGAGAGAAGCUUACAUUUCGAUCGGAGAAGACGAUGGACUCUUUCUCUCUCUCUCUCAGAGUCGUGCGUGAGAGAUUUGAUUAGAGAUUAGAUUAGACACAUAAGAAGAAGAAGAAGAGGGCUUUGAUUCUUCUCUCUCUGCCCUUUUGUUUCCUUUUUUUAAAAUAUUUUUUUCUAAAUACUAAAAAUGUUUUUUAUCAGUUUCAGGAAAGAAUCUAAUUUUUUUUAUAAAUAUUAGACUAAUUAAAAUACCAAAUCAAUGGGUGGGGGGGGGAGAAGUUGAAUUGUCGUCUCUCAUUAUCCCUGGCGGCGAGAGCACCACCAUGGCCAAACUCGCCGAGUACCAUAACCUGGUCCCCUCUCAAUCUCUCUCUCUCUCUAGUCUUUUUUUUUUUUUGUAAUUCAAUUGUGUAGAAAUAGUUUUUAUUGUGAAACUAGGAAAGUUUCCUUUUUUAUGUGUUGAGGAGAAUCUUGUUUUUUUUUUUUUUUGUGUUCUCCAAAAAGAUUGGCUUUGAGAUUGAUAAAGGAUAAACUUUUUGGUAUUAAGUUUUUUUUUUUUUUUUGAAACUAACUUUUUGGGAUUAAGUUUCAUUUAACAAAAGCAUAUGCAGAGAACAACCUUGAUUUACCUUUAGUGGGUCUUGAGGACAAAACAUUGUGUGAGUGAGUCUCCUCUUCUGAGUUCUAAUUGUCUUUCAUUUUGUUUAUUUCAAGUUCCCGGCUCUACGUGAGUUUGUUAAGACAGGGAAACCUGUUUGGGGGACAUGCGCUGGUCUUAUAUUCCUAGCAGACAGAGCAGUUGGUGAGUAACCUUCCUAUCAAUUAAGGAUUCAAGUUAUUAAUAAACACUACUUAUAAAGUGUUGAAAACUUUCAGGUCAGAAAGAGGGAGGUCAGGAACUAGUCGGUGGCCUUGAUUGCACUGUCCAUAGAAACUUCUUUGGCAGCCAGGUAACAAAUAUUAUCUCAAAAGAUAUGCAAAUAUUAAAUCAAAGUUUUUUUUUCUGAUGUGUAGAUUCAAAGCUUUGAAGCUGAUAUCUCAGUGCCUCUUCUAACAUCCAAAGAAGGUGGAGCUGUGACGUUCCGUGGAGUGUUCAUACGUGCUCCAGCCGUUCUAGAUGUCGGCCCUGAUGUCGUAGUCUUGGCUCAUUGCCCCGUCCCUUCGAACAAGGUCUUGUAUUCAAGCUCUACUGUACAAAUCCAAGAGGAAGAUGCUCUUCCGGAAACGAAGGUCAUUGUUGCUGUGAAGCAAAGAAACUUGUUAGCAACUGCGUUUCAUCCAGAGUUAACCGCAGACACGCGAUGGUAAUUAGUUGAUUCUUUGUUCCUCUCUCUUUUGGUUUUAUUCAGCGGUUUUCACUUUUUCUGCUCCAUUUUUUUUAUCUACAGGCACAGUUAUUUCAUGAAGAUGACGAAAGAGAUGGAACAAGGAGGUUCUUCAAGCAGUAGUAGUAGCACUAUUGUUUCUGUUGGAGAGACCAGUGUUGGUACCGAGCUAGCUAAGCCUGAUAUUCCUAUAUAUCUCAGUAACUAAAAUAGAGAGAAGACACUUAAUUCUCUUGAAAUAAAAAAAAAAACUAUAGAAAAGUGUCGGAUUCUUUUGAUGUUUUUGGAAAUAAAAAUGCAAAGCUGGUUUGCAUCUAGCACACAAGAAAGUUUCACAGGGAGUCCAUGUACUUGUUUUCUAGAUACUACAUUGUAUACCGUUGAAUCAAAGCCGGUUUCCUUGGUUCAAUUUUGUUUGUGACUCACUGCCUUGUAUAUUCUUCUGACAGAACAGAACAGGACUUUGAUAAUAUAAAUCCAGUUUGGUUAUUGGUUCAAGAGUUAAGAAGCUAAACUGGUUUAUAGUAAAUUAGUCAAAUGUUUUAGCGCGUUUGAGAUUUCUUUGGUGUAUAGAAAAGGUGCAAGCUUGUAAUAAUGGGCGGCUUGUGGACCAAUGAAAGUGAGUUUCUUAAAAUGCACACAUAUACAGACAUGAAGGGCUUUCUUCUUCGUUCAAGACAUCUUCAUGUUCUAGCUAGCUCGUUUCUUGCUCAUAAAGGCAUUGGAGAACAAACAUUAGAUUCUUUUUCAUAAAAGUUUAUAGAGAAAUAUAUGCAGAUUCCUUUAUAUAAUGAUUUCUUAAUAUUGAAUUUAAACAAAAAUAUAGAAGUAAUUUGAAAUAUGUUAAUUUGAAAUAUGUUUUGAUGAUGAAGCUUAAAUAAAUGGGUAAAGAGAAUGUGAAUUAAUAAAUAUGCAUGUUUUUAAAUAAAGAUUAACUAACUCUUCUAGCUAAUAGAUUUGAUGCUGAAGCUUCACCAAGUAGACUUUUUGACUUGAGAUAAACCCAAAGAGUCAUCUUCUUUCUUACUAUGAAGCAAGGGAUAUAAUCAUCAUAUGAAGUUUUAAGAAAACAUCUUGAGAGACUAAAGAAGAAGCCAAAGAAGAAGACUUGUACCUGAGUGAUGAAGCGCAGAAAGUCAUAUGUGAUUGUUGCUCUCUUCGGAUUGCUUCUCUUGACCGAAAUUGUCAUUGCUGAGAGCGAUGGGGGCAAAGGCAACGGUAAUAACGGCAAGGGGAAUGAGGGAAAAGUAGAAAAGCGUAAAGGAGGAGAUGAUGUCAAGGGCAAAGGUAAUGGUAACGGUCCAAAGGACAAAGACAAGAACAAGAAUGACCAGGGCAAGAAGGACAAGGACAAGAAAGGAAGGAUAAGGAGAAAGACAAGGAGCAGAGUGAAGCAGCUGCUAGUAGAUACAUGAUGCUUUCACCUUUUCCCACAGGACAAGAACAGACCAUGUGCCAGGGUCAGGGUGCAUGUUAUUACAAAAAUCUUGUUUGUCCUGGUGAAUGUCCCAAAAGAAAGCCCACAAAAAACAAAAGCACCAAAGGUUGCUUCAUUCUUUGAACUAGGGGGUUUUGGGGAAAACCUACCGUCCAGGUUACGUCAGUUCCGCCUAAGACUGGAGUUCCAAGGCCUGUGAUGGGAGGAGAAGACAAAUAUCAGACUCCUUCUCUGUUCUCACCGACUUGCAGACUCUGCAGGUUUAAGCCUCAUGAAGAAUCACUUUCUGCUGAUAUCUAGUGAGAAAGAAAAAAAAUGGAAACUUCUAUCAUUUUUUAUAUAUUCAUGGACAUUUGUAUUUGUAACUAUUUUGUUUUUAAAAAUAUUUUAUAUUCAUGAAAAUUAAUGUAAUAAAAGCCAAUCAAGAUAGUAUUUGCCCAGUUUGUGAUGUUUUUGAGGAUUUAAAGAAAUGUAAGACGUUUCUUGCGCCAUGGGGAACCUUUGGCUUCCUCAGUUUUUUCCUUUAUCCAUUGGUGUGCGUUUGUAUAAAAAUACGAUGAUAUCACCUAUAAGAAGCUUUUGUGUGUAUAUUAAACUACUUGAAUCUGACAUUAAAUUUCUUGGAUCUGGUUUUUUUUUCUGUAUGUUCUUCACUUUGAAAGCAAGUGUGUGUGUUUCUGGGGUCCUCAACAACAACUGGAGAUGCUUACAAAGCACUCUUUUUGCUAAGGACAUCUCCAAUGAUACUCUAUUUUGUCUUCUAUAAUUUACACUAAAAUGGAUUAACUCUAUUAUAACGUAACUUUUGCUCCAAUGGUGUUACCCUAUAAUAGAGUUAUUUAUCGAGUGAAAUAUAGAAGAAUGUCAUAUUUUACUCUAUAUUUGGAGAGGAAAAGUGACAUUCCUCUAUAUUUCACUCUAUAUUAUAUAGUAAGACCAUUGGAGCAAAAUUUACACUAUAAUAGAAUUACUCUAUUUUGGUGUAAAUUAUAAAAGAAAAAAUAGAACCCCAUUGGAGAUGGUCUAAGACUCAAUAACAAAAAAGAGAUUAAUUUUAAUAUGUUUUUUAACUUAAUAAUUAAACAACUUAGUACAAGAAAACGAAGCUUGCCUCUUGUCUAAAUCUAGGACUUGUGUAGCUUUUCUCUCUCAGCUAUGUUCCCUCUCUAAAACACUAUACAGAGGAGAGAGAAAGCUUUUGUUUUUGGUUCGCCGGAUAUUUUCCGGCCUAGUCUCCCGUUCAUUGGGCUGUCGACUCUGGGAAGAAGAAGCUUCUCUAGUUCUUCUUCACCGGCUUUUGUUUCCGGGAAGCAUUAGCUUCGAUUUCUCCGGUUUAUUUCGGGGUUUUUCCGGUUCCGUCCGAUCAAGACCUCUGGUGUUUCUCUGUUCAAUUGAUUCUCGAGUCUCGCAGGUUUUCCUUCGAUUGAUGUCGAUUGACUAUCCUUGUAGUGGUUUUGAUCUUAUCAGAUUUGGUUCCAUGACUUGAAUCUGAUUGAAGGCCGUUCGGUCUGAACGGUUUCUCUUUUGGUUCAGUUACGGAUUGAUGAAAGCUCUCCGGGUGUGGUUCUUAAAUUUGUUAGUCGUAGUUCUGGUGGCUCUGGAGGAGAUCUCGAGAUAGUCUCGAUGACGCUCUCUGGUGGAAAGAGUCCAUGCGAAAAAGUUGGGUGAGGUGGUUUCAGAAUUUCGUCUUCUCCGGCGAUGUCUUGUGAUGAUCAGUUGGUUCACUACUCAUGAUUUUUCUUCCAACUGGUUAUUUUGUGGAGUUAUUUCCAUGGAAUUUGGGACUGUUUUUUUUUUUUUCAUUUUCGUGGAGUUAUUUAUUUUUCUUCAAACAGAAUAUUGAAAAAGAGAAUGUACGAGCGAAGAAAUGUCUUUUGAAGAGAAAAUUCAUACACAAGUAGGGGAAAUAUAAUGCGAUAUAAUUUGAAAGAUGGAUACAAUACAAUAAAUAUAUCAAAUAAACUCAUACUUUAUUAUUCUCUUUUUUUAUAUUAUAAUCCCAAAUUUGAAAAAGGACUUAGCGCACAAGGCUCCAAAAAACACAGCUUCAAAAUGGUAAGGAAACAAAACCAAAUUAUUUAGGAACGUGCCAACAUCCAAACAAAACUUUGCUUGGUCGGUUCAUUAUUUCUCACUAAGCGGACGGCAUCAGAUUUAACAAUAUAUGCGCGUAUCUGAUUACAUCGUUUCCUGGAGGCUCCUCUGUAUGCUCUCCAUAUGUCAAUAAAAUGAUUGCCAUCCCUUAGAUAACAGUGCCAUACUAUCCUAUCGCCGCUGCCUCUCUCCCUAACCGGGAAGUUGUAUUUACCAUUGAAUUUUAUUUCUUGAACACUUAUAGUUUCCUUUUUGUUCGAUGUGCAGUUGACUUUGACACUACGAGGAGGUUCAAGUUGGUUUUGAAAUUCCACCAGAUUGCAUCCGGAAGUUCUUUUCGAACUAAAACACAUAACAGUUAUUAACAUAAAAGUAAUGAGAUUAUUCAUCUUUUUUUUUUUUUUUGAAGAUGCUAGAGACCCAAAGCGUAUUAUGUAU
RNAcentral lists this long non-coding RNA (6666 nucleotides) under Brassica napus (rape). RNAcentral describes it as "long non-coding RNA (BNAP_LNC001180)". The record is from RNAcentral. Lineage: Eukaryota; Viridiplantae; Streptophyta; Magnoliopsida; Brassicales; Brassicaceae.